AAAGAAUGGAAGAGAGACUCCAGAGCUUGCUGAAGCAGAAGGAGCUGGUCACACAGCAAAAACACCUGGCAAUAAAGCUGCAGCAUCAUUUGACUGUCUCCCAGAUGAGGUCAGAAAAUCUCCAACAUGAGCUGGAACAAUCCACAGAUCAGGAUGAGAGCUUCCUGCCGACAGAGCUGCUGCAGCAGGAGCACUAAGUGUCAUAAGCAACACCCUUUAUGAGAACUGAGGAGGCUGAAGGAAUCCAUAGUCAACUAGAAACCCUGACAUUCUCCACUCUAUGAUCAAGGCCUCCUCAGAACAAGACAUGUACUACUAGUUGUGAA
Peromyscus californicus insignis is the source of this 326-nucleotide long non-coding RNA. RefSeq lists it as uncharacterized. The record is from RefSeq and is a predicted model, not a curated record. The transcript is spliced from 3 exons. NCBI's taxonomy places the organism in Eukaryota, Metazoa, Chordata, Mammalia, Rodentia, Cricetidae.